RNAcentral lists this ribosomal RNA (492 nucleotides) under uncultured bacterium. RNAcentral describes it as "partial 16S ribosomal RNA". It matches the Rfam family "Bacterial small subunit ribosomal RNA", at positions 29 to 507 of the family's 1533-position model. The record is from RNAcentral.
AGUGAACGCUGGCGGUAGGCCUAGCACAUGCAAGUCGAACGGCAGCACAGUAAGAGCUUGCUCUUACGGGUGGCGAGUGGCGGACGGGUGAGGAAUACAUCGGAAUCUACUUUUUCGUGGGGGAUAACGUAGGGAAACUUACGCUAAUACCGCAUACGACCUACGGGUGAAAGCAGGGGAUCUUCGGACCUUGCGCGAUUGAAUGAGCCGAUGUCGGAUUAGCUAGUUGGCGGGGUAAAGGCCCACCAAGGCGACGAUCCGUAGCUGGUCUGAGAGGAUGAUCAGCCACACUGGAACUGAGACACGGUCCAGACUCCUACGGGAGGCAGCAGUGGGGAAUAUUGGACAAUGGGCGCAAGCCUGAUCCAGCCAUACCGCGUGGGUGAAGAAGGCCUUCGGGUUGUAAAGCCCUUUUGUUGGGAAGGAAAAGCAGCAGGUUAAUACCCCGCUGUUCUGACGGUACCCAAAGAAUAAGCACCGGCUAACUUCGUG